This 1282-nucleotide unclassified non-coding RNA is filed under the name Leishmania donovani. RNAcentral describes it as "gene:LdHU3.05.0950(CDS-product:hypothetical_prote in_conserved)". The record is from RNAcentral. Lineage: Eukaryota; Euglenozoa; Kinetoplastea; Trypanosomatida; Trypanosomatidae.
UGGUCGUAGUCGUCGCCGCAGAGAUCGUCGUUGCGGACUGUCGUGGUGCUCAGCAGUGCUGCUGCUCCCUUUUUGUCUUAAGCAAACAGGACAACUCCUGUUUCUCUACGCACAUACACACACACAUACCCUCCCUCAUCUCCACCCCCCACCCCCCGAGCACUAUGCUCCGGCGCUCUCCGGUUCCGCGUCGCUACCGCACGGCAUGGCGUGAGCUGCUGCACCCGCUCCCGGUGUGGGCUCGCAAGCAGCAGUGGCUAAAACGCGAUACCGUCGAGAUGAACGAGGCCAUCCUGCGUGAGCCCUACUACCGCAUCAAAACCUUCGCGCAGCCCGCCGCCUUUGUGUCUCCUCGCGUGAGCGAGAGCGCCACGCACGAGCCAGACACGCAGCAGAGCAGCCGCUAUGGCGUGGAUCGUCAGCUGCGCGGACCGCGUCGCGCAGUGUCGCCCGAGCGUCUGCAGGAGCUACGUGAGCAGCUGCAGUUUGUCGGGUCUAUCGGGCCUAAAGUGCCGCCGGCGGCGGGGGCAGGGCCGGCGUACCAAGACGAGUACGGGACUCGCCUGCGCCCGCGCUACCCACAGUCGUGGGAUACAGUGCCUCCGCACCAGCCCUCGCGCUCUGAGAUUUGAGCGUGCGCGAGUGUCUGCCGCCUCUGCGCGGCGGCGGCGGCGGCGGAUGCGUUGUGAUGGUGGAGGGUGCGAGUGUGCAGUUGACCUGUGCGUGCGUGUGCGUGUGUGUCUCUGUCGUAUCCUCUCUCCCUCUGUGUGUGUGUGGGGGGGGGGGGGGGGGGGGGCGAAGCGCAGGAGAGGUGGAUGCGUCACAGUUUUCCACGCGUCAACGAGAACGAAAGAAGAGCAAUGCCAACGACUGCACCGGUAAGGUCUGCCAGCGCGCCUGCAGAGCUGAGCGGCGGAGCGUGCCCGGCGUCGACAGGGAUAGCCGGAGCAGCAUGCGGCAAAGAAGAAAUGAGGGGUGCACGGCGGUGCCGAUCUCGCGUGACUCCGUAUGUGCGCCGGAUCUGUCUGCCUGUCUGUAUCACCACCCCCACCCCCACCCCCUCCCGCACCUCCUGUGUGCCGUGCGCUCGCACGGGCGCGUCUCUACGGUGAUGACGCCGUCUCUGCUGCCCCCACAAACGCCUCUUUCUUUCCUGCUGCCGCCCUUCUGCUCGAUGUGCCUCAUGACCCCAUCGUUAACACACACGAUGCAUACGUGCCCCCGACGCCUGGCGAGAGGUACGCCCUACCUCCUCCUUCCCCCCCGACGCCGCCAUUCACAG